UGGGCGUAAAGCGAGCGCAGGCGGUUAGAUAAGUCUGAAGUUAAAGGCUGUGGCUUAACCAUAGUACGCUUUGGAAACUGUUUAACUUGAGUGCAAGAGGGGAGAGUGGAAUUCCAUGUGUAGCGGUGAAAUGCGUAGAUAUAUGGAGGAACACCGGUGGCGAAAGCGGCUCUCUGGCUUGUAACUGACGCUGAGGCUCGAAAGCGUGGGGAGCAAACAGGAUUAGGUACCCUGGUAGUCCACGCCGUAAACGAUGAGUGCUAGGUGUUAGACCCUUUCCGGGGUUUAGUGCCGUAGCUAACGCAUUAAGCACUCCGCCUGGGGAGUACGACCGCAAGGUUGAAACUCAAAGGAAUUGACGGGGGCCCGCACAAGCGGUGGAGCAUGUGGUUUAAUUCGAAGCAACGCGAAGAACCUUACCAGGUCUUGACAUCCCUCUGACCGCUCUAGAGAUAGAGCUUUCCUUCGGGACAGAGGUGACAGGUGGUGCAUGGUUGUCGUCAGCUCGUGUCGUGA
Molecule: ribosomal RNA, 516 nt
Filed under: uncultured bacterium
Lineage: Bacteria
Description: bacterial SSU rRNA
Rfam family: Bacterial small subunit ribosomal RNA
Source: RNAcentral